Molecule: non-coding RNA, 106 nt
Organism: Favolaschia claudopus
Lineage: Eukaryota; Fungi; Basidiomycota; Agaricomycetes; Agaricales; Mycenaceae
Source: the annotation of a GenBank genome assembly
GGCAACGUGGCCGAGUGGUUAUGGCGUGUGACUCAAGUGUGACAGCUUGCCUGUUGUGGGUUUCUCAUCACGUAAUGUGGCAUGGGUUCGAAUCCCAUCGUUGUCA